Molecule: long non-coding RNA, 2389 nt
Organism: Cyprinus carpio carpio
Lineage: Eukaryota; Metazoa; Chordata; Actinopteri; Cypriniformes; Cyprinidae
Source: Ensembl
AUGGACUAUGUCAAUUUAAAGCGCGUAAUUUUACAUCAACAUCCCGAAAAACCAAGCGGCCUCGCGCAACACAGACUGGAGCAGAUGGCACGUAAUUGCCUUGAGGUGGAAACGGGGCGUCCAUUUUACAGGUCUCGCGGGACUCGGUCGCAGUUCUCCUGUGAAAAUACAGGUGCAACGAUGGACCUUUCCAAUCAUAUCCAUGCAUCUACACCCAGAUUUGCCUCCAGGAUCUCUCACAGGUGCACCAUUGGCCCCAGGCCGGCCUGGCACCCAACCCUCCUGCUCAUCAGCACCACUACCAAAACACACACACAUAAACCCUCUGCCCCCCUUCUUGAAGGUCCAGCUGAUCCCCACCUGAUCCCAAUUCAUGGGGGAGGAGGAGGUGUUCUGAUCUGAGCUCACCCUGGAGAGGUGAGAAAGAAGAAAAUAUAUGCCAUCGCUCAUCUUUCUUGUCUCUCUGUCUCGUACAAGGAUAGUAACUCUUUGUGCUCCUGUCAGAUUAAUGCCAACAAUAAGCCCUAAAACCAUGUUAGAUGGUGUCCUUGAGUAUCCUAUGCAUGCAUGUGAAUGUAUGUAACAUUGUGUGUCUGCGUCCACCAGUGUUAUUGUGUGUAAAGAGCAGUAUGUCCAAGCAGGGCUGAGCUCAGGUGUCCUGUGCUGAUGAGUUGCAGCUGGCUCUCAUUGGUGCUGUAAUGGGUGCUAUCCAGUGCCUGGGUCAGUCACACAGCUGAGUUUAGACUACCCUCAGUAUAGCAAUCCAUGUUCAAACUCAUUCAGCCUCCUAAAAGUAUAUAAGUUAUGUACUUAUCUUAAUGAGAUAAGUCACUAAAUUAUUUUCUGUAUUAAACCAUCCAUUUAAAUUAAUUUGUUCCCCAUGACAAGUUAUUGAGAUCACUAAAAUUCUAUGAACAGGCAUGAAAAACACAUGAACAGGCAAAAAAAAAAAAAGACACAUUAUACAACAGUUAGUUCCAGUUUUCAAAUUUGAUUGUGAUUUUUGAAGCAGUGUCAUAGAAGAACCAUUUUGUUUUCCCCAAAGAACCUUUCAGUGAACAGUUCUCAAAAGAACGAUUUAUUUCUUAGUGUGAAGAACAUUUUAGAAAUCUGAAUAACCUUCUUCCACUAUAAAGUACCUUUUGUGGAAUGGAAAGGUUCCAUGGAUGUUAAAGGUUCUUCAUGGAACCACAGAUGCCCAUAAAGAACCCUUGUUUUUAAUCUUGCGGUUGAGUGGCAUAUUAAGAUAAAAUUCAUAUUUAUUUUUACAUAUUAUAUUUAAAUUUUAUUUAGUAUUGUAUCUAUCUAUCUAUCUAUCUAUCUAUCUAUCUAUCUAUCUAUCUAUCUAUCUAGUUGAACAACAGUUUAUAUGAGCUAUACUUGGUGUUACUGAAUUUUUUUGUCAAGUAUUUUAUAUACAUGAGGGAGAAAUCUGGAGAUGAUGCAGAUAGGGAAUAUUUUGUACUACACAUCACAAUAAAGCAUUUGAAAUUUGUUUUAUAUGAUUUGAAUGUACAUGCCUCACAGCUCGGCAGAAGGUAUUCUUAUUGACCGUGUACUUGGACUGAAUUAAGCCGUGAAAUGAGCUGCAAUCCAUUGUUCUUUCACCAUGAACAACAGAGAUCAAUACUUAUGAUCUCCACCAGCCCUCCUGAAAGUAAGCACACAGGACAACAUAUGUUCCCUUCAGUGAUGGCAUAAUUUGUCUAAACCCAAUUAUACAACACUAAAGAUUUAUGCCCACACAUAACAUAAUAUAAUACUCAUAAUAUUGUCCAAAACACAUAUGAUCUUCACUUUUUCAGUCAAAAUAUUCCAUCCCAUGUGUUUUCCCUCUAUGCCCAGUUCUCUUCUGCCUCCAUGUCCUCCUCUCUGUUGUUUUUUUUUCUCUUUCUCUGGGUCUUACUAUUUUCAUACCCCUCCACUGGCCCUGGGUCAGACAUCCUGCCUCCAUCCAUCUCUCCAUCCACUCAUCCAUCUUUCCAUCCUUCCAGCAACAUCAGCCAGCUGCCCCAACACACACACAUAGAGACCUUAAUUCAGUCAGUGAGGUCCAUGCCCCCUUCCCAAAGCAAUGCCCAGAUCUGAACACAUGCACCAGGCAAAAAAGGGCAGCAGAUGGGGGGAAGGGUGACUCUGGAAGCCAUAUGCCUCUUUCUCACAUUUGACUCUCUGUAUAUAUAUGUGUAUGUGUGAGGAGGGGAGGGGUGUGUUGUGGAAAUAAAGGACCAGCUGACUUUGUUCACAAACAGAGGACAGAAAUAAGAGGUUUUAAUGGAAUCUAAUACUUCCCAUCAACCAUGAUCAAUAACAGUCUAGCACAUAAUCGGUCUGAGAAUGAUAUGUGAAUCUUGAAGAAUUCCAAUGAUUUCAUUUUAUAGUAAAAAAC